RNAcentral lists this ribosomal RNA (342 nucleotides) under Triticum aestivum (bread wheat). RNAcentral describes it as "partial small subunit ribosomal RNA". The record is from RNAcentral. Lineage: Eukaryota; Viridiplantae; Streptophyta; Magnoliopsida; Poales; Poaceae.
AUGCAGGUGUUAUCGGUUUUCAGCAUGGAUAGCAGGAACUUCCACGGGUUGAAUGGUACAUAUGUGAAUCUGCCAUCUAAGAUCACAAUUGUGUCACGACCCAAGUACAGAGAUGGGACGGACAAACGGAUUCAGUACCAAUCGUUGAUACAAGUUGAAGAUACAGUGGAGAUUUGGGAUGAGAAAUCAGCAAAGAGAUGUGAGGAAUACAGAGAGGCGGAGGUGAGGAGCGAGAGCAGAGGUGAGGAGCUUCAGAAGUUUCAGUCAUUCAUUCGCUGCCCUUCCUUGUGCUCUCCUGAUUGCAUAUGUAGCCUGUGCUGUGUGGGAACUAACCUCCAAUGA